RNAcentral lists this long non-coding RNA (936 nucleotides) under Equus asinus (donkey). RNAcentral describes it as "lncRNA (ENSEASG00005036404.1)". Lineage: Eukaryota; Metazoa; Chordata; Mammalia; Perissodactyla; Equidae. The record is from RNAcentral.
CCAGCUGCCACAUCUAAGUUGGAGGGGGGCUAGUCCCCCCGGGGAGGGCCAACUCCACUGUGCCUGCUCCUCCUGGCCAGUGCUGGUCCCCUGUCAGCCCCACAGCACCCAGUCUGUUCGUCAUCAGCGUGGGAUGGUGUCUCCACACCGACUCGGAGAUGCAGGCGGUUUGCACUGUGACGUGCUAUUUAUUGAGCACCUGCUGUGCCCCAGGCCCUGUACGAGGCUUGAGAUCCACCAGGGAACAGAACAGAAAGCACCCUCCCCUCCAGGAACUUGCAUCCCAGUGUGGGGAUUCAGACAAACAAAUGAACAAGUAAGCGUGAAGUAUGUAAAUUAGCGGUGAGGGCUGUGUAGAGAAACUUAGCUGGUUAAGGAGGGUCCGAGUUAGUACUUUACUGGGGCUGCUCUGGCCUCACUGAGAAGACAUUUGAGCAGAGAUCGAAUGAAUUGAGGAAACAAGUCACGUGCACUUCUGAGGGAAGAGUGUUCUAGGCCCUGGGAACAGCAGGUGCAAAGGCCCUGUGGUGGGAGCCUGCUGAGAGCAGCGAGGGGCCCCAAGAGGAAGGGUGGGAAGCAGAAGUGGGAGAGGAGGCCAGACAGGUGACACCAGGUCAGAAAGGACUGGUUAAUACCCAGGUGAGGAGGCAGUCAUCAAAGGGCUGGGUACACCACCUGGCUCUGUGCAGUGUGUGGUUGUCCCAGCUGCUGCACGGAGGAUGGCUGUGGUCGGAGCAAGCCUGGUGAGGACGCCCCAUCAAGUCAGGAGGCUUUGCAGCCAAACAGGGCAGGGACGGGCGGCCGCGGGGGUGGUGCAGGCUGGUCCGACUCCAGGUGUGUCUGCAGGUGGCCAGCUGGGACCUGCCAGUGGGUCGGGGGUGGAGCGCAAGGAGCCAGGCUUGCCUCAGCGCAGCUGGAAGUGGGCGCAGCGACCGG